UAAGGAAUAUUGGUCAAUGGACGCAAGUCUGAACCAGCCAUGCCGCGUGAAGGAUGAAGGUCCUCUGGAUUGUAAACUUCUUUUAUCUGGGACGAAAACUGGAUUUUUAUCUCAAUUGACGGUACCAGAGGAAUAAGCACCGGCUAACUCCGUGCCAGCAGCCGCGGUAAUACGGAGGGUGCGAGCGUUAUCCGGAUUUACUGGGUUUAAAGGGUGCGUAGGUGGGCUUAUAAGUCAGUGGUGAAAUCUCCGAGCUUAACUUGGAAACUGCCGUUGAUACUAUAGGUCUUGAAUUAUCUGGAGGUAAGCGGAAUAUGUCAUGUAGCGGUGAAAUGCUUAGAUAUGACAUAGAACACCAAUUGCGAAGGCAGCUUACUACAUAUAAAUUGACGCUGAGGCACGAAAGCGUGGGGAUCAAACA
Molecule: ribosomal RNA, 421 nt
Filed under: uncultured bacterium
Lineage: Bacteria
Description: bacterial SSU rRNA
Rfam family: Bacterial small subunit ribosomal RNA
Source: RNAcentral